AGAGUUUGAUCCUGGCUCAGCCUGAACGCUGGCGGCAUGGUUAAGACAUGCAAGUCGAACGACACAGUGGCGAACGGGUGAGUAAUGCGUCGCUAACCUGCCCCGGGCUCGAGGAUAGCAGGAAGAAAUUCUUGGUAAUACUCGAUGACCUGCCGGCCCCGCAUGGGGUUGACCGCAAAGCUUUUGCGGCCCGGGAUGGGGCGACGUGGUAUCAGCUAGUUGGUGAGGUAAUGGCUCACCAAGGCUUCGACGCCUAGCCGGACUGAGAGGUUGGCCGGCCACAUCGGGACUGAGACACUGCCCGGACUCCUACGGGAGGCUGCAGUAACGAAUCUUCCGCAAUGCACGAAAGUGUGACGGAGCGAUGCCGCGUGCGGGACGAAGCCCUUCGGGGUGUAAACCGCUAAAACCAUCAGGAAAGUUCUGAUCCGGUGGUGAUAAGGAGCGACUAACUCUGUGCCAGCAGUCGCGGUAACACAGAGGCUCCAAGCGUUAGGCGGAAUCACUGGGCUUAAAGCGUGCGUAGGCGGCGCAUCAAGUGUCUUGUGAAAGCCCAUGGCUCAACCAUGGAACUGCUUGGCAUACUGGUGUGCUUGAAUCAUCUAGGGGCGAGCGGAACUGACGGUGGAGCGGUGAAAUGCGUAGAUAUCGUCAGGAACGCCAAAGGCGA
RNAcentral lists this ribosomal RNA (670 nucleotides) under uncultured bacterium. RNAcentral's name for it is "bacterial SSU rRNA". It matches the Rfam family "Bacterial small subunit ribosomal RNA", at positions 8 to 718 of the family's 1533-position model. The record is from RNAcentral.